Molecule: ribosomal RNA, 478 nt
Filed under: uncultured bacterium
Lineage: Bacteria
Description: bacterial SSU rRNA
Rfam family: Bacterial small subunit ribosomal RNA
Source: RNAcentral
GAUGAACGCUAGCUACAGGCUUAACACAUGCAAGUCGAGGGGCAGCAUGAACUUAGCUUGCUAAGUUUGAUGGCGACCGGCGCACGGGUGAGUAACACGUAUCCAACCUUCCGUUUACUCAGGGAUAGCCUUUCGAAAGAAAGAUUAAUACCUGAUAGUAUGGUGAGAUUGCAUGAUAGCACCAUUAAAGAUUUAUUGGUAAACGAUGGGGAUGCGUUCCAUUAGGUAGUAGGCGGGGUAACGGCCCACCUAGCCGACGAUGGAUAGGGGUUCUGAGAGGAAGGUCCCCCCACAUUGGAACUGAGACACGGUCCAAACUCCUACGGGAGGCAGCAGUGAGGAAUAUUGGUCAAUGGGCGAGAGCCCUGAACCAGCCAAGUAGCGUGAAGGAUGAAGGUCCUACGGGAUUGAAACUUCUUUAUACGGGAAUAAAGUAUCCCUAGUGUAGGAUUUUGAUGUACGUAUGAAUAAGCAUCGG